AGAGUUUGAUCCUGGCUCAGGACGAACGCUGGCGGCGUGCCUAACACAUGCAAGUCGAGCGAAAAACUUUGGUUUUUAGCGGCGGACGGGUGAGUAACACGUGGGUAACCUACCUCAAAGAGUGGGAUAGCUUCCCGAAAGGGAGAUUAAUACCGCAUAAUAUUGGAUUUUCGCAUGAAGAUUUAAUUAAAGGACCACCAUUUAUGGUGAAUUCGCUUUGAGAUGGACCCGCGGCGCAUUAGCUAGUUGGUAAGGUAAUGGCUUACCAAGGCGACGAUGCGUAGCCGACCUGAGAGGGUGAUCGGCCACAUUGGAACUGAGACACGGUCCAGACUCCUACGGGAGGCAGCAGUGGGGAAUAUUGCACAAUGGGCGAAAGCCUGAUGCAGCAACGCCGCGUGAGUGAUGAAGGCCUUCGGGUUGUAAAACUCUGUCUUCUGGGACGAUAAUGACGGUACCAGAGGAGGAAGCCACGGCUAACUACGUGCCAGCAGCCGCGGUAAUACGUAGGUGGCAAGCGUUGUCCGGAUUUACUGGGCGUAAAGGAUGCGUAGGCGGAUAUUUAAGUCAGAUGUGAAAUACCCGAGCUUAACUUGGGUGCUGCAUUUGAAACUGAGUGCCUAGAGUGCAGGAGAGGUAAGUGGAAUUCCUAGUGUAGCGGUGAAAUGCGUAGAGAUUAGGAAGAACACCAGUGGCGAAGGCGACUUACUGGACUGUAACUGACGCUGAGGCAUGAAGGCGUGGGGAGCGAACAGGAUUAGAUACCCUGGUAGUCCACGCCGUAAACGAUGGGUACUAGGUGUAGGAGGUAUCGACUCCUUCUGUGCCGCAGUUAACACAAUAAGUACCCCGCCUGGGGAGUACGGUCGCAAGAUUAAAACUCAAAGGAAUUGACGG
Molecule: ribosomal RNA, 897 nt
Filed under: uncultured Bacillota bacterium
Lineage: Bacteria; Bacillati; Bacillota
Description: bacterial SSU rRNA
Rfam family: Bacterial small subunit ribosomal RNA
Source: RNAcentral